RNAcentral lists this ribosomal RNA (420 nucleotides) under Fusobacteriota bacterium. RNAcentral describes it as "Fusobacteria bacterium partial 16S ribosomal RNA". It matches the Rfam family "Bacterial small subunit ribosomal RNA", at positions 355 to 776 of the family's 1533-position model. The record is from RNAcentral. Lineage: Bacteria; Fusobacteriati; Fusobacteriota.
UGGGGGAUAUUGCACAAUGGGCGAAAGCCUGAUGCAGCGACGCCGCGUGGGGGAUGAAGGCCUUCGGGUUGUAAACUUCUUUUGCUCUGAACAAGGCAUGCUUUUGGGGUGUGUUGAGUGUAGGGGUUGAUUAGCGCCGGCUAACUACGUUCCAGCAGCCGCGGUAAUACGUAGGGCGCGAGCGUUUUCUGGAAUUAUUGGGCGUAAAGGGCUUGUAGGUGGCUGGUUGCGUCUGUCGUGAAAGCUCAUGGCUUAACUGUGGGUUUGCGGUGGGUACGGGCUGGCUUGAGUGCAGUAGGGGAGGCUGGAAUUCCUGGUGUAGCGGUGGAAUGCGCAGAUAUCAGGAAGAAUACCGGUGGCGAAGGCGGGUCUCUGGGCUGUUACUGACGCUGAGGAGCGAAAGCGUGGGGAGCGAACAGG